UACGUAGGGUCCGAGCGUUGUCCGGAGUUACUGGGCGUAAAGCGCGCGCAGGCGGCGCGUCAAGCAUGGCGUGAAAGCCCCCGGCUCAACCGGGGAGGGUCGUCGUGGACUGGCGCGCUUGAGGGCGGUAGGGGCUGGUGGAAUUCCCGGUGUAGUGGUGAAAUGCGUAGAGAUCGGGAGGAACACCCGUGGCGAAGGCGGCCAGCUGGGCCGUCCCUGACGCUGAGGCGCGAAGGCGUGGGGAGCGAACGGG
This 253-nucleotide ribosomal RNA is filed under the name uncultured bacterium. RNAcentral describes it as "partial 16S ribosomal RNA". It matches the Rfam family "Bacterial small subunit ribosomal RNA", at positions 524 to 776 of the family's 1533-position model. The record is from RNAcentral.